This is a long non-coding RNA of Herpailurus yagouaroundi (jaguarundi), 412 nucleotides long. RefSeq lists it as uncharacterized. The transcript has 2 exons. The record is from RefSeq and is a predicted model, not a curated record. NCBI's taxonomy places the organism in Eukaryota, Metazoa, Chordata, Mammalia, Carnivora, Felidae.
AAAGACCAAAGUGCCCUGGAAAGAUGAACCAUCCUAUGGAGAACAGCAGUCCUGGAGAAUGACUGUGUCUGCCGUGGACUUUUUGCAUGAAAAAAGAAAUGCAGCCUUCCUGGGACCACCAUGCUGUGAGAAUGUCAGGCUGCAUGACAGGCCCUGGAGGAUACAACACUACCUGGGAAGGAAGAGACCAAGGAAUGUUAAAUGUGCCGGACAUUUGAGUACAAAGUCCUUUGGGUAGUGGGUCCUCCGUCUAGAACAGAGAUAAACCAUUCAGCCAAGCCCUCCACACAUUCCUCACCUGCAAAAUCAUGAGCAAAAUAAAUGGUGGUUUUAAACCAUUCAGUAUUGGGGCAUUUUGUUUCCUAGCUACAGAUCACCAGACGCUGAAUAAUAAAUAUUUUACAGUGACCAA